Molecule: ribosomal RNA, 268 nt
Filed under: uncultured bacterium
Lineage: Bacteria
Description: partial 16S ribosomal RNA
Rfam family: Bacterial small subunit ribosomal RNA
Source: RNAcentral
GUCCACGCCGUAAACGAUGAGUGCUAGACGUUGCCGGUAUUGACCCUGGCAGUGUCGAAGCUAACGCGUUAAGCACUCCGCCUGGGGAGUACGGCCGCAAGGCUAAAACUCAAAGGAAUUGACGGGGGCCCGCACAAGCGGUGGAGCAUGUGGUUCAAUUCGAACGCAACGCGAAGAACCUUACCUAGGUUGGAACCCCUCAGAAGAUUGCUGAAAGGUGAUUGUGCCCUUCGGGGAACUGAGUGUCCAGGUGCUGCAUGGCUGUCGU